GAUGAAGAACGUAGCGAAAUGCGAUAAGUAAUGUAAAUUGCAGAAUUCAGUGAAUCAUCGAAUCUUUGAACGCACCUUGCACCCUUUGGCAUUCCGAAGGGUAUGCUCGUUUGAGUGUCAUUGUACUCUCACUCUCCCGAUGCUUUUGGAUCGGGAGUGGUGGACUUGGGUGUUGCUGCUUUGCUGUGGCUCGCCUCAAAUGGAGUAGUGCAACUCUUGGUUGGACAUAGUACGGCGUGAUAAGUGUCUUCGCCGGCGCCUCAUUAUAGAGGGUGGCCGAUCGGGAGCUCUGUGCUUCAAACCGUCUUCGGACAACAUCUGACAACUUGACCUCAAAUCGAGUAGGACUACCCGCUGAACUUAAGCAUAUCAAUAAGCGGAGGA
This 384-nucleotide unclassified non-coding RNA is filed under the name soil metagenome. RNAcentral's name for it is "partial contains 5.8S ribosomal RNA, internal transcribed spacer 2, and large subunit ribosomal RNA". The stretch from base 1 to 120 matches the Rfam family "5.8S ribosomal RNA", at positions 35 to 154 of the family's 154-position model. The record is from RNAcentral.